Molecule: ribosomal RNA, 122 nt
Filed under: Nodularia spumigena CCY9414
Lineage: Bacteria; Bacillati; Cyanobacteriota; Cyanophyceae; Nostocales; Nodulariaceae
Source: RNAcentral
UUCCUGGUGUCUAUUGCGCGGUGGAACCACACUGAUCCCUUCCCGAACUCAGAGGUGAAACGCUGCUGCGGCGACGAUAGUUUAGGGGUAGCCCUACGCAAAAAUAGCUCGAUGCCAGGUUU